RNAcentral lists this ribosomal RNA (253 nucleotides) under uncultured bacterium. Its description in RNAcentral is "partial 16S ribosomal RNA". It matches the Rfam family "Bacterial small subunit ribosomal RNA", at positions 524 to 776 of the family's 1533-position model. The record is from RNAcentral.
GAAAGAGGAGGCAAGCGGUAUCCGGAAUUAUUGGGCGUAAAGCGUCCGUAGGUGGUUUGACAAGUCUGGGGUUAAAGCCCGGAGCCCAACUCCGGAUCGGCCCUGGAAACUGUCAGACUUGAGUAAGGUAGGGGUUGCGGGAAUUCCCGGUGUAGCGGUGAAAUGCGUAGAUAUCGGGAAGAACACCAGCGGCGAAAGCGCGCAACUGGGCCAUUACUGACACUGAGGGACGAAAGCUAGGUGAGCGAAUGGG